AUUGAACGCUGGCGGCAGGCCUAACACAUGCAAGUCGAGCGGGGUUUUCGGACCUAGCGGCGGACGGGUGAGUAAUGCGUAGGAAGCUGCCCGAUAGAGGGGGGAUACCAGUUGGAAACGACUGUUAAUACCGCAUGAUGUCUACGGACCAAAGUGUGGGACCUUCGGGCCACAUGCUAUCGGAUGCGCCUACGUGGGAU
This 200-nucleotide ribosomal RNA is filed under the name uncultured bacterium. Its description in RNAcentral is "partial 16S ribosomal RNA". It matches the Rfam family "Bacterial small subunit ribosomal RNA", at positions 30 to 241 of the family's 1533-position model. The record is from RNAcentral.